Molecule: long non-coding RNA, 1319 nt
Organism: Astatotilapia calliptera (eastern happy)
Lineage: Eukaryota; Metazoa; Chordata; Actinopteri; Cichliformes; Cichlidae
Source: Ensembl
AUUUUGUAUGGACAUAAUAACUUGAGAUAAUUUAUCAGCUGGGGUUAAAGUCAAUGUUCCCUCUAAUUUUUCAUGUGUCUGAGUGAACACACAAACUCCCUGAGCGAUCAGCAGACGUGUGCACUGUGGUCACGCCAGCAUCAAAUCCAUCCAAGUUACAUGGUUUAUUACAAUAAUCAAAUUACAGCAUUUACAUUUAUGUUAGACUCCUUUUAAUUAACUGCUUUAGCCCACAACUACAAUGAAAAAGGAAAAAAAAUCUUGUUCAUGACCUGUGUAGUAUGUUAACACUAUUGGAAGUAAAAAUAACUUGAACCCCAAUUUUUCAUUAUAUACUGUAUUUUCAACCAAUGUUGGGCAAUUAAUUAUAUAGUUACUUCUUCAAAAACGUUACUGAGUUUUGCAAACAGUUUUUUGCAGCUGUUUACCUGAAAAUGCUGCCAUGGCGUUUUGUGCCACUCCAAAAAAUUAUUUCUGUCCACUAUGACAUAAAGGAGAACAACAACCUGAUACCUGCAGGCCUGACAACAGAUGUAUCACUCCUGUAACAUUCAGCAGUCGCCUCAUUGUUCUGACACACACAACAAAACUACUGACUACACACAGUAGCGGUUUUUGAUACGGUGACAUGGGCGGUUGCCCAGGGAGGCAUUGUGGUGGGGAGCGGCAUCACGGGCAUCGGCAAAAAAAACAAAAAAAAAAGAAAAAAAAAUUGCUCGUACUGAUGCUGCCCCGACAUCAGCCAGCGCAUAUUGGGAAUGGCACAGGCACCAAUCGGUUUACCGCCGCCCAUUUGCUGGGCGUAAGGGCGCCCUCCGUUUGGAAGGUGCGCCUGCUGCUUGCGGCACAGGGAGGAGAGGGCGGGGGAUUCUCUGGCUGGCUGGAGCAGCGUCUAAUAACCAACCAAAAUAAAACAAAAUAAAAACAAACUAACAAACACAAAAACACCAGACAUUAUGAUACAGACUUAUAAUUUGCACCGAUGUUUUUUCAAAAUUCUAUACGCGAAAAGUGAGCGCGAGAGCCCUCGGUGCGCCUGCUUGCUGCUGAAGUCAAAGUAAACUUUAUUGUCAUCUCUGCUACAUACAGUCCAGUAUAUAGAGAGACGAGACAACGAGGCUCCAGUUACAGCAGUGCAAGUAAACAAACAACAAAUAUAAGAAGAGUAAGAAAAUAAAUAUACACUUUAGGACUCGGGGUAAAGGGAUCAAUAACAAUUUAAAAUUUAUAAUUUACAGUUUGAUGAUUUAAAGUCUCACACACAACGCGUCGAAAGGGGAGGGGGGCCGGCUGCUUCCAAGCACAUUUCAUUCAUAAUG